AAAAGAACCCCGGGAGGGGAGUGAAAUAGAUCCUGAAACCGCAUACAUACAAACAGUAGGAGCCUCGUUAAGGGGUGACUGCGUACCUUUUGCAUAAUGGGUCAGCGACUUACGUUUAAUGGCGAGCUUAACCGUAUAGGGGAGGCGCAGCGAAAGCGAGUUCGAACAGAGCGUUCAGUCGUUAGGCGUAGACCCGAAACCAGAUGAUCUAUCCAUGGCCAGGUUGAAGGUGUGGUAACACACACUGGAGGACCGAACCGACUAGUGUUGCAAAAUUAGCGGAUGAGCUGUGGAUAGGGGUGAAAGGCUAAACAAAUCUGGAGAUAGCUGGUUCUCCCCGAAAACUAUUGAGGUAGUGCCUCGUGUAUGACUCCAGGGGGUAGAGCACUGUUAUGGCUAGGGGGACAUGGCGUCUUACCAAACCAUGGCAAACUCCGAAUACUUGGAAGUUUGAGCACGGGAGACAGAGCACCGGGUGCUAACGUCCGGACUCAAGAGGGAAACAACCCAGACCGCCGGCUAAGGUCCCUAAUAUUGACUAAGUGGAAAACGAAGUGGAAAGGCUAAGACAGUCAGGAAGUUGGCUUAGAAGCAGCCAUCCUUCAAAGAAAGCGUAAUAGCUCACUGAUCGAGUCUUUCUGCGCGGAAGAUGUAACGGGGCUAAGUCAAUAACCGAAGCCGCGGAUUCACACUUAUGUGUGAGUGGUAGGGGAGCGUUCUGUAAGCCUGCGAAGGUGACUCGUAAGGGUUGCUGGAGGUAUCAGAAGUGCGAAUGCUGACAUGAGUAACGUUAAAGCGGGUGAAAAGCCCGCUCGCCGUAAGCCCAAGGUUUCCUGCUCUACGUUCAUCGGAGCAGGGUGAGUCGGCCCCUAAGGUGAGGCUGAGAAGCGUAACUGAUGGGAACAAGGUUAAUAUUCCUUGACCACCGCUGAAUGCGAAGGGGGGACGGAGUAUUGAAGAUCAUCCGGGUGUUGGAUAUCCCGGUUUGCGAGCGUAGGAGGCUGACAGGCAAAUCCGUCAGCGAAUCUCCGAGGCGAAGCAUCGAGCUCUCUUUUGAGCGAAGUGAUUGGAUGUGCUUCCAGGAAAAGCCUCUAAGCUCCAGUUCAGCGGGACCGUACCGCAAACCGACACUGGUGGGCGAGCUGAAUAUGCUCAGGCGCUUGAGAGAACUCAGGAGAAGGAACUCGGCAAAUUGACACCGUAACUUCGGGAUAAGGUGUGCCUUUGUAGCGUGGAGGGAGAAACACUCCGAGCGCGAAGAGGUCUCAGAUAAUCGGUGGCUGCGACUGUUUAUUAAAAACACAGCACUCUGCAAAGACGAAAGUCGACGUAUAGGGUGUGAUGCCUGCCCGGUGCUGGAAGAUUAAUUGAUGGGGUGCAAGCUCCUGAUCGAAGUCCCAGUAAACGGCGGCCGUAACUAUAACGGUCCUAAGGUAGCGAAAUUCCUUGUCGGGCAAGUUCCGACCUGCACGAAUGGCAUAACGAUGGCCACACUGUCUCCUCCUGAGACUCAGUGAAGUUGAAGUGUUUGUGAUGAUGCAAUCUCCCCGCGGCUAGACGGAAAGACCCCAUGAACCUUUACUGUAGCUUUGCAUUGGACUUUGAACCGAUCUGUGUAGGAUAGGCGGGAGCCUGUGAAACCACAACGCCAGUUGUGGCGGAGGCGUCCUUGAAAUACCGCCCUGAUUUGUUUGAGGUUCUAACCUGGGACAGUCAUCCUGUCCGGGGACCGUGCAUGGUAGGCAGUUUGACUGGGGCGGUCUCCUCCUAAAGGGUAACGGAGGAGUGCGAAGGUACGCUAGGUACGGUCGGAAAUCGUGCUGAUAGUGCAAUGGCAAAAGCGUGCUUGACUGCGAGACCCACAAGUCGAGCAGAUACGAAAGUAGGUCAUAGUGAUCCGGUGGCUCUGUAUGGAAGGGCCAUCGCUCAACGGAUAAAAGGUACUCUGGGGAUAACAGGCUGAUACCGCCCAAGAGUUCAUAUCGACGGCGGUGUUUGGCAC
This 2002-nucleotide ribosomal RNA is filed under the name human gut metagenome. Its description in RNAcentral is "bacterial LSU rRNA". It matches the Rfam family "Bacterial large subunit ribosomal RNA", at positions 517 to 2524 of the family's 2925-position model. The record is from RNAcentral.